CAUCCGUUAUUUUCCUUCUUCUUUUCUCGAUGACAUACGUAAGUUUAGUUUGACAGGUAUACAAUAAAAAGAUUUAAACAUUUUGUUAUUUAUACGGGAAAUUAGACCCGAUCAAAAUAAUUAUUAAAAGCAAAUUUUUCUAUUACCAUCUAAAUUACUAAAUUACAUCCAACAUUUUACAUCGGCCAAACCAAACUGUAAUUUACAGUUUGGAGAACUGGAAAGCUACCUACUAGAAAUUGAUAGGUACAUCCUUUUUUCACAGUACAUAUUCCAAAGGUUUUCAACCUCGGGGUUAAAAUAAAAUCAUCCUUUCGAUGCCUCAUUCAUCAUCUUCAUCAUCACAGUCUUGCUGGCCAUUGCUGAAGGCGAAAACCUUCUUCGACUUGCAGAAAUUCAUCAAGAAAUACCAUCCAACAGCACCAACAGUCAUGAGCCCACU
This 442-nucleotide long non-coding RNA is filed under the name Linum usitatissimum (flax). RNAcentral's name for it is "long non-coding RNA (LUSI_LNC002345)". Lineage: Eukaryota; Viridiplantae; Streptophyta; Magnoliopsida; Malpighiales; Linaceae. The record is from RNAcentral.